This is a non-coding RNA of Mesocricetus auratus (golden hamster), 128 nucleotides long. NCBI's taxonomy places the organism in Eukaryota, Metazoa, Chordata, Mammalia, Rodentia, Cricetidae. The record is from Ensembl.
CUUGAAGGACCAAGAAGGCUUAUUCUGAUGAAGCAAGACUUUGCUGAUACACUCCUCCUAGACAAAGCAGUGGAGAGAGCAGCCCUUAACAUAGAAAACUACAGGGAUGACUGUAUUACCCAACAUUU